AAGAUUAUAAUUUUAAGUCUAAUCUGCUCCMUGAUUAUAAUUAUUAAAUAGCUGCAGAAUUUUAACUGUACAAAGGUAGCAUAAUCAAUAGUUUUUUAAUUAAAAGCUGGAAUGAAGGAUUUAAUAAGGUAAAUAUUGUCUCAAGUUUAUUAAAAUUAUAAUUUUUUUUUUAGUAAAAAUACUAAAUUGAAUUUAAAAGACGAGAAGACCCUAUAGAUUUUUAUAUUUAAGAUUAAAUUUAUUUAUAUUAUUAAUAUUUAUAUUAAUUAAAAAAAUAUUAGGUUGGGGAAAUUAUUAAAUUAAUAAAAUUUUAAUUUAUAUUAAACAAAAAUUAUUGAAUUUAUGAUCUUAAAAAUUUAAAUUAAUAGAAUAAAUUACCUUAGGGAUAACAGCGUAAUUUUUUUUGAGAGAUCUUAUUAAUAAAAAAGUUUGCGACCUCGAUGUUGAAUUAAGAUAAAAUUUUAAUGUAGAAGUUAAAAAAUUUUGGUCUGUUCGACCAUUAAAAUCUUACGUGAUCUGA
This 520-nucleotide ribosomal RNA is filed under the name Araucacis leptaulax. RNAcentral's name for it is "partial 16S large subunit ribosomal RNA". The stretch from base 385 to 520 matches the Rfam family "Archaeal large subunit ribosomal RNA", at positions 2544 to 2679 of the family's 2987-position model. The record is from RNAcentral. Lineage: Eukaryota; Metazoa; Arthropoda; Insecta; Hymenoptera; Ichneumonidae.